This is a non-coding RNA of Mus caroli (Ryukyu mouse), 73 nucleotides long. The record is from the annotation of a RefSeq genome assembly. Lineage: Eukaryota; Metazoa; Chordata; Mammalia; Rodentia; Muridae.
GGCCUUGUGGUGUAAUGGUUAGCACACUGGACUUUGAAUCCCAGGAAUCCGAGUUCGAUUCUCGGUGAGGCCA